CAUUGGUGACCUGAGCCGAAGACGGACACUUAACCAACUGAGCCACCCCGUAGCUCCAGCUCUCCCUGAGGAAUGAAGCUGUGUACUCUGCUUGUGGCAAAGCUCAGUAAGUCCUUAAAAAAUCAGGAAGCAGUCGUCAAUGCUCAAGUUAAAUCUGUACGGCCAUUCGCAAAGAGCCAACUCCGGACUCGGGUGGCCUAUUACUCAGCUCAACAGUGCCAGCUACCAAGAUGGUUUUGGCCAGUAGUCCCUUUAUGGUUAGACAAGAUGCAUCCAAAUUACUGAUAUCGAAAAACACACCUGCCACCCCAGCGCCAUCUGAAAUAAAAUGUCUAUCCUCCCAUCU
Long non-coding RNA from Leopardus geoffroyi (Geoffroy's cat), 346 nucleotides. RefSeq lists it as uncharacterized. Lineage: Eukaryota; Metazoa; Chordata; Mammalia; Carnivora; Felidae. The record is from RefSeq and is a predicted model, not a curated record. The transcript has 3 exons.